UACGAAGGGGGCUAGCGUUGUUCGGAAUUACUGGGCGUAAAGCGUGCGCAGGCGGCUUCUCAAGUCAGGGGUGAAAGCCCAGAGCUCAACUCUGGAAUUGCCUUUGAGACUGAGUGGCUUGAGUACGAGAGAGGUGAGUGGAACUCCGAGUGUAGAGGUGAAAUUCGUAGAUAUUCGGAAGAACACCAGUGGCGAAGGCGACACACUGGGCCAUUACUGACGCUGAGGCGCGAAAGCGUGGGGAGCAAACAGG
Molecule: ribosomal RNA, 253 nt
Filed under: uncultured bacterium
Lineage: Bacteria
Description: partial 16S ribosomal RNA
Rfam family: Bacterial small subunit ribosomal RNA
Source: RNAcentral